CAUACUUUCAUAGAAAUAUUUAGUUUAGCUCCAUUCGACAUCGUCGGCAGUCGACUUUUCUAUUCUUUUCCUAUAUCAACUACAAAAUAUUUGGAUUCAAAAUAAAAUUUUAUACAAACCGGUCAAUAUUCGUCGUAAAUAAAUGCAAAGCUGCUGGUUCAUUUGGUUAUUAUUGAAGAUGUUAUCACAGCAUGGUACUUCCGAGCUAAUGGAAUUUUUCUGCAGUAACUAAACUAUAGAGGUUUGUAAAUAUUAAUGGCCUCUUCAACAAUUUUCACCAAGCAGCUGGACAAUAAAUAUGUAGUUUUGGAUACUCGCCAGUCAGGAUGCUCUGUCAAUGAAUUUGGUAUGCCCAAACUCGAAGGAGUUUCACCUCCAUAAGAGCGGCAGACCUGGAGA
Long non-coding RNA from Drosophila mauritiana, 399 nucleotides. RefSeq lists it as uncharacterized. NCBI's taxonomy places the organism in Eukaryota, Metazoa, Arthropoda, Insecta, Diptera, Drosophilidae. The record is from RefSeq and is a predicted model, not a curated record. The transcript is spliced from 3 exons.